GAUGAACGCUGGCGGCGUGCCUAAUACAUGCAAGUCGAGCGAACGGACGAGAAGCUUGCUUCUCUGAUGUUAGCGGCGGACGGGUGAGUAACACGUGGAUAACCUACCUAUAAGACUGGGAUAACUUCGGGAAACCGGAGCUAAUACCGGAUAAUAUUUUGAACCGCAUGGUUCAAAAGUGAAAGACGGUCUUGCUGUCACUUAUAGAUGGAUCCGCGCUGCAUUAGCUAGUUGGUAAGGUAACGGCUUACCAAGGCAACGAUGCAUAGCCGACCUGAGAGGGUGAUCGCCCACACUGGAACUGAGACACGGUCCAGACUCCUACGGGAGGCAGCAGUAGGGAAUCUUCCGCAAUGGGCGAAAGCCUGACGGAGCGACGCCGCGUGAGUGAUGAAGGUCUUCGGAUCGUGAAACUCUGUUAUUAGGGAAGAACAUAUGUGUAAGUAACUGUGCACAUCUUGACGGUACCUAAUCAGAAAGCCACGGCUAACUACGUG
RNAcentral lists this ribosomal RNA (497 nucleotides) under uncultured bacterium. RNAcentral's name for it is "partial 16S ribosomal RNA". It matches the Rfam family "Bacterial small subunit ribosomal RNA", at positions 28 to 507 of the family's 1533-position model. The record is from RNAcentral.